RNAcentral lists this long non-coding RNA (315 nucleotides) under Manihot esculenta (cassava). Its description in RNAcentral is "long non-coding RNA (MESC_LNC007427)". The record is from RNAcentral. Lineage: Eukaryota; Viridiplantae; Streptophyta; Magnoliopsida; Malpighiales; Euphorbiaceae.
GACUUGUUAUGAUAUGAGUUAUGUAAGCGAAUACUAGGUGUGGCCUCAUCGCCCCUGGUAUAGUUGGACGUACUACAGUACGUAGAGGGCUAUAGGUGACAAAUUCAUCCUUGAUGUGAUAUGUUUGUGUUGUGAUGCAUUCCAUGAAAGCAUAUGAUAUAAUGAACUGUUUUCUUUAUGGUUUCCGCUCACUGGGCUUUUUAGCUCACCCCUCUCCCCUAACCCCCAGAUUUGCAGGUACGGGAUAGAUAGAGAAGGCUAUGAAGAGAAAAGUCACAUGUUUGUAAUAGAUAGAUUGUGGACAUGACAAAUUUG